RNAcentral lists this ribosomal RNA (503 nucleotides) under uncultured bacterium. Its description in RNAcentral is "partial 16S ribosomal RNA". It matches the Rfam family "Bacterial small subunit ribosomal RNA", at positions 30 to 523 of the family's 1533-position model. The record is from RNAcentral.
AUUGAACGCUGGCGGCAGGCUUAACACAUGCAAGUCGAGCGGGGUGAUGGUGCUUGCACUAUCACUUAGCGGCGGACGGGUGAGUAAUGCUUAGGAAUCUGCCUAUUAGUGGGGGACAACAUCUCGGAAGGGAUGCUAAUACCGCAUACGUCCUACGGGAGAAAGCAGGGGAUCACUUGUGACCUUGCGCUAAUAGAUGAGCCUAAGUCGGAUUAGCUAGUUGGUGGGGUAAAGGCCUACCAAGGCGACGAUCUGUAGCGGGUCUGAGAGGAUGAGCCGCCAACCUGGGACUGGGACACGGCCCAGACUCCUCCGGGAGGCAGCAGUGGGGAGUAUUGGACAAUGGGGGGAACCCUGAUCCAGCCAUGCCGCGUGUGUGAAGAAGGCCUUAUGGUUGUAAAGCACUUUAAGCGAGGAGGAGGCUCUUUUGGUUAAUACCCAAGAUGAGUGGACGUUACUCGCAGAAUAAGCACCGGCUAACUCUGUGCCAGCCGCCGCCGUAA